This 280-nucleotide ribosomal RNA is filed under the name Triticum aestivum (bread wheat). Its description in RNAcentral is "partial small subunit ribosomal RNA". The record is from RNAcentral. Lineage: Eukaryota; Viridiplantae; Streptophyta; Magnoliopsida; Poales; Poaceae.
AAAAGACGAUAGCCAAUUUAUUGGCUAAUUCGAAUUUGUCUGUACAAUUCAUAAAAUUCUUUCUUAUUUCUUAUUGUUGAAAUCCAAAAUUAAAGUCUCUUGGCUCUCUUCACGCUUUCUCACAAACAGAUUAAAAAAUAGAUUUUUAUUUUUGAAGUUUGGAUAAACCAUUGCUUCGUCUGGUGUCUACAAUACAUAUAACUCAUUAUAGUACUAAUUUCAUUUUUACCAGAUCGAAAAAUUUUAUGUUGAAAAGAAAAAUUUAUAGAUCCAAUGUCAU